RNAcentral lists this ribosomal RNA (253 nucleotides) under uncultured bacterium. RNAcentral describes it as "partial 16S ribosomal RNA". It matches the Rfam family "Bacterial small subunit ribosomal RNA", at positions 524 to 776 of the family's 1533-position model. The record is from RNAcentral.
UACAGAGGUCUCAAGCGUUGUUCGGAUUCAUUGGGCGUAAAGGGUGCGUAGGCGGCGCGGUAAGUCGGGUGUGAAAUCUUGGAGCUUAACUCCGAAACUGCAUUCGAUACUGCCGUGCUUGAGGACUGGAGAGGAGACUGGAAUUUACGGUGUAGCGGUGAAAUGCGUAGAUAUCGUAAGGAAGACCAGUGGCGAAGGCGGGUCUCUGGACAGUUCCUGACGCUGAUGCGCGAAAGCCAGGGGAGCGAACGGG